GCAAAUUUAACUAUAAGAACCGAACCACUCUUGAAUGGUUCGAUUUGGUUCCACGGUUUUUCCAUUUACUUUUUUUAUAAAAAAUUCAAAAUGUAUCCAAGAAAUAUUGUUUAUUCAUAAAAGGAUAAACAUUACUACUAUCAUUAUAAAAAAAUUAUAAAUCAUAUAUAACAAUAUAAUUUAUGAUUAGUAACAUAUAUAUCAAUUACUAAAAUAUAUAAUAGUUACAUUUAUAAUUUUACAUUUCAUAAUUAGUAACACAUGUAACAAUACAUGUAUAACAAUAUAUGAUAUAUGUAGUUUCAAACUCAAUAACACAUAAGUUGGAAAAUAUGUUCCAAAUCAUAAGACACUAGGAAACAAUUUAGUAACUAAUAACAUAUAUAAUAUUAACUUAAUAACAAUUUAGUAAUAUAUAUAACACUACAAUUCAUACAAAAAUUGAUAAUUUAAGCUAGAAAAUUAGUUGAAGAAGUUAAACAAUAAUAAAACAUUAUCCGUAAUCCCUAUUAUAUAUUUCUUUAAUAUGCGGUUCGGUUCCAUCGGUUCCUAAAUUUCUAAAACCAUAAACCGAACCAAACAUAAACGGUUCCUUAAAAAAAUAACCAAACCGAACCGCGAACCCAUAUUUUGCAGUUUGGUUUAGUUUGAUUCUAUCGGUUUCACGGUUUAAACCGGAUCCGCUUACACCUCUAAAUUCAUAUUAACGAAAUACCUUAGAAUAUUAUUGAUAAAUUAUAAAACAAGGAAAUUGGUAUUUGAAAACUAAAUUAGUUGUUCUCAAAAUCAUUUUCAAGUUUAAAAUUUUAUUUUCUAUUCCUAUGUUAAAAUAGUUGAGUGGUUAAUUAGUUUGGUUAGGAUAGUUAAUUUUUCUAUCCUUUAUAUAAAGGAUUUCAAUGUAAUUUUGCUUUUCAAUUUUUUUCAAUAUUUAAUAAAUAAUAUUAUCUUUUUCAUUUUCUUGUUUCAUCUUUCUUGUUUCAUUAAGAAGAUUCAAGCAUGCCUCAUACCAUUUUAACAUGGUAUCAUAGCGUAAUUAAUUUUUUGUUAGUUUCCGCUUUUAUGCUUCUAUGAAAAACUUCCAUCUCAACUUACUACAAGGAGCAAGAAUGGAGAGUGUCCAUCGGAGUCCUGGUUGAGGCACCUGAUGAUUGUGCCGUUCCAUUUCAAGAUUCUCAAGAAAAUUCAUAUCAACAACUUUGUAUGGGCCUUUGUGUUGUUUACUAAUCAAAUAGGCAUGCUCAUUUCAUUUCUUGCACAGUAAUAAAAGAUUAGUGCAUAUAUUCUUCUCAAAAGUUUCUACCAUCUUCUUGCUUUCAAUCAUGUAACAAGUAACAACACUCAUAAGCAAAGAAGAGUGAAUCUUUUUUUAUUCAAUUAUGUUUAUUAAACAUGUAAUGUUGGUAUAUGAACAUUAUCAAGCAAUAUGUAGGUUCCCCUCUAAGAUCUUUCAGAGUUCUUGAGAUUCCUUCUUAUUCUUCAUCAACUACCCCAAAUUAUUUCUUGUCUAUAAUACUCUAUUUUCUUUACCUCUCUCAUUAAACACACAACAUUGUUAAAGUGUGUAUUUUUUCUUCUUUGAAGCAACAUAUUGAGGUCAAGAUUAAGGUCCCUUUUGUUUUCUCUCUUUCAUCCAUUAUGGUUGGUUUGGUUGGUUAAGCUUAUGUCAAAAUAGAUGGUUAAGCUUUGGAUGAAGUUGCUUCUGCCUAUGGUGGUUAAAUGUCAGUGUUGCUUUACAUUCAGAUUUUAAAAAUGAUAGAUGAAGAUUCACUCACCAGUAAGAGGAGGUAUUAGAGUAUAUAAUUGUGUUCAACACAAUUAUUUCAAGGUUGAAAUGCUUAAUACAUUCCAGCUUGCGAGGGAAUGUUAAAAUAGUUGAGUGGUUAAUUAGUUUGGUUAUGAUAGUUAGUUUUUCUAUCCUUUAUAUAAAUGAUUCAAU
Molecule: long non-coding RNA, 1936 nt
Filed under: Lupinus angustifolius (narrow-leaved blue lupine)
Lineage: Eukaryota; Viridiplantae; Streptophyta; Magnoliopsida; Fabales; Fabaceae
Description: long non-coding RNA (LANG_LNC002115)
Source: RNAcentral